GAGGGGAGAGAGAGGGGUGGAGUGAGAGGAAGGGAGAGGUCUAUCUGUCUUUCUCUCUUUCAGUAUCUGUUCUUCGGAUGGCCGGCUCGAUAUUUUUCACUUUAUUGUUUUUGUUGCCUGUUUUUCUCAUUUGUUGCUGGAAGAUGUUUUCCUCACUGUGUCUGCCUGUCUGCCUGGUUUUUUGGGGGAUUUUGGGGUUCUCAAGAGGAAACAUCAUAACUCAGGGUCCCUCACUUGACACAGAAAUGUCAACGAUUUCAGAAGAGGAUUCCACAACUCUGAUAAUACAGCAACAAAAUGCCUCCACUCAAAUGGUACAGUCUCGCCCCCUGCUGUUAAUGAAGCGCUAUUGGAUUCUGCUUGUGACCCCGUUCUGUGCUGUGGUUAUCGGGGCGCUGCUAUUCACCUUCACUCUGCACCUGCAACACA
This is a long non-coding RNA of Polyodon spathula (Mississippi paddlefish), 429 nucleotides long. RefSeq lists it as uncharacterized. NCBI's taxonomy places the organism in Eukaryota, Metazoa, Chordata, Actinopteri, Acipenseriformes, Polyodontidae. The transcript has 3 exons. The record is from RefSeq and is a predicted model, not a curated record.